RNAcentral lists this ribosomal RNA (468 nucleotides) under uncultured bacterium. RNAcentral describes it as "partial 16S ribosomal RNA". It matches the Rfam family "Bacterial small subunit ribosomal RNA", at positions 28 to 507 of the family's 1533-position model. The record is from RNAcentral.
GACGAACGCUGGCGGCGUGCUUAACACAUGCAAGUCGAACGGAAAGGCCCUGCUUUUGUGGGUUGCUCGAGUGGCGAACGGGUGAGUAACACGUGAGUAACCUGCCCUUGACUUUGAGAUAACUUCAGGAAACUGGGGCUAAUACCGGAUAGGAGCUCCUGCUGCAUGGUGGUGGUUGGAAAGUUUCGGCGGUUGGGGAUGGACUCGCGGCUUAUCAGCUUGUUGGUGGGGUAGUGGCUUACCAAGGCUUUGACGGGUAGCCGGCCUGAGAGGGUGACCGGCCACAUUGGGACUGAGAUACGGACCAGAAGCGUACGGGAGGCAGCAGUGGGGAAUAUUGCACAAUGGGCGGAAGCCUGAUGCAGAAACGCUGCGUGCGGGAUGACGGCCUUCGGGUUGUAAACCGCUUUCGACUGUGACGAAGCGUGAGUGACGGUAAUGGGUAAAGAAGCACCGGCUAACUACGUG